GGCCAAGCUACUUACUAGACACUCAAUCCGGGCCAAGCGUAUACUGCAAAAGCAUAGAAAGAGACGACACUUAUUCCUUGCCAUAUCUAGAAGUGGCCUUCCUUGAUGUAUGGCGAGGUGGAUCUCUAGAACCUGUAUAUAACCCCGACCCUCCGGAAUAUUUCUUAGAAUACCAACCCCCCGAACCUCUUACUAUUUAUUAUAAAGAAAAGGAUACUUGCACUAGCAGCCUAUUAUGUCCUAUUCCAAUCUAUAUCUGCGUUAUUCAAUCUAUAUGCAAAGGCUCCGGCCCUUAGAGCUAUAAAGCAAAAGACAUAGAAAGGAUCUACCAUAAGAAGAAAGUAUUAUCCGCCACCACUCUAUCAGCUAAAUAUCAAUAGCCCUCCCCUGUUUAGACAGCAACUUACUCUAUAAUAGAAACAGCCUCAUAUAAUAUCUGCGCAAUAGAAUUCCAAAUGGUAGGGCCCAACUAUUCCUCUAUCGGCAGGGUUUGAAUUUCAAGUCAAUAUCCAUAGGGUGAACUCUAAAUGUAAUAGGUUGUAUCUAUAGGGUGAACUCUAAAUGAAACAGCUUGUCACUCUAUUCCCACCCUCCCUCUGAAGAGCAAUCGGUUAACACCCGUUUCGUUUCGCUUUUCUGGAACUUGCCUACAGCUUGCUACCUUUCCGUCCUUCCUCGUGAGAUCCUAUCUCUUUUUCUAGUUGAGCAUAUGCAUGUGUACCAGUUGGCAGAGGGAAGAAUUCUACACUACUGACUUU
RNAcentral lists this long non-coding RNA (758 nucleotides) under Musa acuminata (dwarf banana). Its description in RNAcentral is "long non-coding RNA (MACU_LNC010971)". The record is from RNAcentral. Lineage: Eukaryota; Viridiplantae; Streptophyta; Magnoliopsida; Zingiberales; Musaceae.